Molecule: ribosomal RNA, 541 nt
Filed under: uncultured bacterium
Lineage: Bacteria
Description: bacterial SSU rRNA
Rfam family: Bacterial small subunit ribosomal RNA
Source: RNAcentral
GUAACUGCGCGGCCUACACUGGCAGUCGUACAGGAUAACUCAAGCUUGCUUAGCGGAUUAGUGGCGAACGGGUGAGUAACACGUGAGUAACCUGCCCUUGACUCUGGGAUAAGCGUUGGAAACGACGUCUAAUACCGGAUAUGACCUUCGGAGGCAUCUCCUGGGGGUGGAAAGAUUUUUUGGUCAAGGAUGGACUCGCGGCCUAUCAGGUUGUUGGUGAGGUAAUGGCUCACCAAGCCUACGACGGGUAGCCGGCCUGAGAGGGUGACCGGCCACACUGGGACUGAGACACGGCCCAGACUCCUACGGGAGGCAGCAGUGGGGAAUAUUGCACAAUGGGCGAAAGCCUGAUGCAGCAACGCCGUGUGAGGGAUGACGGCCUUCGGGUUGUAAACCUCUUUUAGUAAGGAAGAAGAACUUCGGUUUGACGGUACUUGCAAAAAAAGCACCGGCUAACUACGUGCCAGCAGCCGCGGUAAUACGUAGGGUGCAAGCGUUGUCCGGAAUUAUUGGGCGUAAAUAGCUCGUACGCGGUUUGUCU